GGGUCGGAGAAUCCCUUCAACGAUAGGGACUUGAUCAGGCGGCUGAUCGACGACUGCAUUCUGCCUGACGUCGUUGAGAGGAUCGACCGUGCCGAUCCUGAGCAGCGGGCCUGGGACUCUUUGGGGUCUUUCCUUGAGGUAAGCGGAUCUUCAUUUACACGGCUAUUCGGCCUUUGUUCUAAUUCCCUAGCCUCCCUUGCAGAUCGGGCACCAGCUCCUCGCCUAUAUCGAGGCGGUGAGCCGCACGAGGAGGGACAUUCUCCAGGUG
Molecule: long non-coding RNA, 268 nt
Filed under: Elaeis guineensis (African oil palm)
Lineage: Eukaryota; Viridiplantae; Streptophyta; Magnoliopsida; Arecales; Arecaceae
Description: long non-coding RNA (EGUI_LNC069339)
Source: RNAcentral